Long non-coding RNA from Boleophthalmus pectinirostris (great blue-spotted mudskipper), 933 nucleotides. RefSeq lists it as uncharacterized. The record is from RefSeq and is a predicted model, not a curated record. The transcript has 3 exons. NCBI's taxonomy places the organism in Eukaryota, Metazoa, Chordata, Actinopteri, Gobiiformes, Gobiidae.
GUCCCAUUUCAUUUUUAUGUCAUGCAGCCUUCAAAUGCAGCCCUAAAACCGGCCUCGUUUCCAUGGAGAUGGGGCCGCGAACGGAGGACACAUCCGAGUAUCCUUCGCAGCCUUCAGUAUCCCAGCAUGCACCGCGCGGCGGCAGUCAGAUGUUCGAAAACACGGAGCGAAAACACGCAGCAAAAAGCCCGUCCGGAGAGCGGAGAAAAACAUCCUCCCGUAUGAGGACACAGCACACUGCAGGGGCCACAGAACUGUUGGCUGACAAGAUGCUUGUGAUUCAUAAAAUGGGUCAAAUGCAGAUGACAAAGUAAAGCCAACACUGAGCUGGAGGUGCUGACCCAGACUCCUGCCAACGAUUAGGUUUUCACUCUGCAGGACAGAACUUUGAAUCAAUCAGACCUAACACCCAUUCUGCUCUUCCUCCUCCAGAAGACGAGAGACACAUCAGACUGAGUGGUCCAAGUCCACUGUCCAUGUCUCCAAUGUCCAUGUCCAGAGUCUCUGAGGAGGAGGUCCAGAGUCUCAUAUGAUCUGAACAAGUGUGUGUGAGACAGAAAUGAAAACAUCUGCUCAUAAGUUUUUCUGAAUGUUUUUCAGUCUGUACUGACAUUUGAUUUAUGGUGAAAUGUGCCAUUUAUUUGAUGUCUCUUUUGAUAGUAACUAAUUACAUGUACUAUAAGAAUGUACUAUUGUACUGCAGAUAACCGUGGUAUUCCACAUGAUCAUAUUUGGCAAAGAUAUUUUGUUCAUUUUUGAUUGUCACUUGCUUCAGCAAAAAGGAAGCACAAUGAGAUUUACUGACAUACAGCUGUUUGUACUAACCUGUUAAUGCAGAGUGUGUGUAAUGGGUUUAAUAUUUGACUUCAUAUUAUGAUAAAGUAUUUCCAGAAGUUCCUUGGAUUGUUUAAUAAACCAGCUUUUCUCAGGAGA